UUGAUUGACAGUAAGCAAUUGGAUUCCAUAAUCUGUUGUCAAGAUUUUGUGUUAUUGUUUGUGAUUUUGAACUUCGUGUACUAUGAUCGUUAGGUUAUUAUGGAUUUGGAAGAACGAUACACAAAAUCUCUUACAUCAAAGGUAUUUUUAUCAUUUGAGCAUUUGUUAUUUUGCUUUUUAUUACUUUGAUUUUGUAUUAGGAUGUUAUUUGUUUUGAUCGGUUACUACUGUGUAAUUUGAAGGAUCAUUGUUUUCUAUGUUUGUUUUCUCUAGCUUUUCUUUUGAUUCUAUAGGCAUGUCUUAAUGAUUUUCCUAACUAUUAUUUUGUUUUUUUUUUCUUUUAAAAUUCAAAUAGUUCUUCGGAGAAUCAUUAAUGUCUUUUAAUUCGAUAAUCUUAAGGUUUUAGAAAAUGUGUUUGUUUUAAAGUUUUGUAAUCUUGGUUGAAUCUGGCUUUAAUCUUGAUUGUAAAUAUGGUUUUCUCAUUUUUAUUUAUUGGAUGGAGUUCGUUUUUCAGGUAAAAAAAAUUCUUGAAAAUACUUGAAAUUGAUAUUUAUUGAUUUUUACUAUAUUGAAACAUGAUAUUUGUUUUAUGAUUACUAUAUUGGGGUUAGGAUCAAGAGUGAACACCCCCCUCAUUUGUGAACUGUGUGAACUCAUCUUGGCCCUUGAUUUAUUUUUAAGAUACUAAGGGUAGGAUUGUCAUUAGCAAUUUAAACUUGAUUUUUUUAUUUAAUUAUAAACUUGUUAAUAUUGAUUCAUCAAUAUCAGUUAUUAUAUUAUACAACUUAUCCCUAUUUUCUUGUGAUUCAAUUGAAUCACCGUUUAAUUAAAAUUUCGAUUUCACAAUUCCUCCAAAAAUAAGAUCCACAGGUAAACCUUUUUUUCCAGAUUCAAUUUCAUUGACCUUCAUCUUCUUUUUGAAUCUGAUCAUCUUGUUCAUCAAAGUUCAAGUCAUCUUCUUUUGUAUUUCAUCAUCUAAUCACAGAUAUCCAAGAGACAAUACAAGAGACAAUACGUAGUCCAGAAAUCAAUAACGUGUUCUUUACAACGAUUAAUCGUCCUGUUCUUUAUUCUUUUGAUUUCUUCCCUGUUAUUUCGAUUCACAUAACCACAUGAUUCACAUCAGAUGUUCGUCAAUAUCGGUGAUUUUAUUCCCAGGAAUCCAAGCAAAGUCGGUAGCUAGUAACGUAUACGAGACACCUAAUGGCAGUAGGUAUUGAACGCCAGUUGUUCCGCCCGGUUGCAAACCCGUUCUAAAGGUGAGAUUUAGUUCAAUGGGAGCCGCUAUUGCAAUGUAUGAGAGUUACGCACAACUAGCAGGGUUUUGUACAGUUGCUGGAAAGCACAGAAAGGGCUGCAACUGUAAAAAGUCAAUGUGCUAGAAAAAGUACUGCCAGUGUUAUCAGGGUUGUUCACAUCGCGGUGUAAUGGUUCAAUUCGUUUCAGAUUCUCGCAACUUAGAGGUGUCUGUUUUGACCCGUAUACUUAUACAACGUGUCAAGUUAUGUAUUAUAUCUAACGGGUCAAACAAGAAAAAAUAAAACUAUUAUGUUUUGCAUUGUACAGAUUAAUGUUUGUUUGGUUUUUUCAUUAUGUAACAUACAGGGGUUUUUACUCUGUUUUUAGGCGAUGGUAUGAAUUUUUCUUGGUUGAUUUGUUGUAGACAUUUGUACAGAGGUUUUUUU
RNAcentral lists this long non-coding RNA (1685 nucleotides) under Helianthus annuus (common sunflower). Its description in RNAcentral is "hypothetical non coding rna". Lineage: Eukaryota; Viridiplantae; Streptophyta; Magnoliopsida; Asterales; Asteraceae. The record is from RNAcentral.